This is a non-coding RNA of Chrysemys picta bellii (western painted turtle), 5687 nucleotides long. The record is from RefSeq and is a predicted model, not a curated record. Lineage: Eukaryota; Metazoa; Chordata; Testudines; Emydidae.
UUUAAAAAAGAAUUAGAUGAGUUGGUGGAAGAUAGGUCUAUCAAUGGCUCUUAGCCAAGGUGGUCAGGGAUGCAACCCCAUGCUCUGGGUGUCUCUAAGCCUAUAACUGCAAGAAGCUGGAUUGGAGGGCAAGGGAAUGGAUCACUCCAUAAUUGUCCUGUUCUGUUUGUUCCCUCUGAAGCAUCUGGCACUGGCCACUGUCAGAAGACAGGAUACUAGACUAGAUGGACCAUUGUUCUGACCCAGUGAGGACAUUAUGUUCUUAACUAACGUGAUUGUAAAUGUUAAUGUAGACAAGGAAGAAUCUUAAUUAAUGGGGAUUAAAAACCAAUUAGUAAUCGUAGUGCAGCCAAACCUAAAUAAAGGCUAAUGCCUUGGAACACCUUGUAAUAAUACAGAAUAAGCAAUGGCAAUUAUAAUCAAGACUUUCAUAGUAUUUUGAAAUUCUUAAAUUAUGUGGCAAUAACUUAUUCAGGUCAUUUGGGAAGGGAAGGGUUAAGACUUACCUUCACUUUAUAAUCUUGUUACAAAUAAGUUAACAAUGCAAGAAGUGGGACAGCACCAACUCACUGAAGCAGAAAGAACUUAAUGGAAAAUGUGUAUUAACAAGUGACAGUUAAACAGAACAAAUGAACGUACAUGUCAGAGGUUUCUAAAAAAAUGCUAAAAACUAUUCAAAGGUAAAGCAAUUAAAUGACAGUAGCAUGACUCCUCCCUCAAAAACACACCUUACUUAUGCAGGGUCAGAUGCUUCUUUUACUUACACUGGCUUUGCACUGGUGUAACUACACCGAAAUCAGUGUAAGUCACUUCUGAUUACAUUGGUGUAAGAACUUGAUCCAGAGCCAACAUAGGUUUUUGCCGUUAAAAAAAGAGCUUGACUGGAGAUUGAUAGAAGAAGCAUAAAUCUACAUGAAAUACCCAGUUGGGGUUCUGAGCACAAUACUUUCUAAACCGCUAUGUUAAAUUGAACACUGCUUGGCCUUGAUGCUAAUGAUGAUGGCUCAUCUUCCUGUUAUGUGAGGAUGUAAUGGGGGAGCGCUCAAAAGUCAGGAAUGUUUACUUUUUACCUGCAUUUCAUCUAAAGCGCUUUCAAAGCAUGAGAUUGUUUGGCUGAACCUCAUCACUACAAAUUAACGUCAGAGUCUGCUUUGCCGUUGCAAGCUUGAAAAGCUUCCUUUAUGUUAGAAUUCAUCUGAUCAUCAAAGGAACCAUGAGUAAUGUAUGUUCAAGAGAAAAAGAAUGAUUUAUGUGCUUCAUUGUUAACUUAGAUGACAGACAUUGUUUAAGAUUUAAAAUAUUUCAGAUAACCAUGCAAGUAACCACACUUGUUCUGGAAUUUACAUGAAAAAUGCAGUUUUGUUACAUAGUAAUUACAUACAUGCCUUCCCAGAUCAUAUGCCACUUAUACUUUUCAUGGAGCUGGGGCAAACUCUUGCCCUUUCAAAUUUCAGCCAUGCCUGGUGGGGAUGGGAGUGGUAUAUGCGACAGAGUAGCGAUAGUUUUGUAGUGGGUCCCUGAGUCACCCUGUCAGUAGCCUAGCUCAGGGAUUAUGGGAGGAAAAUGCUCCUAUCUGGACCUCACAGGUGCUACAAAAAGCAUCAUCAUAUAGCUCUUCCCUCCACUGUUCUUGUCACAUGCCUCAGAACGCCACAUGGGAGACCAAAGGCAUAACAAGGUCUCAGGCUGGUAGGCCACAUCCACUUAGCGCACAAAUGUCUGCAUAAGCCACUUCCUCAGUCUGACACGCAAGGGAACUAGGCUGCAAUCCUGCUCAGCUGCUGUGUGGGUGUGCUUGGGGUGGGAUGUACUCUCUGCUCCCUCCAACAAAGGCCGUGCGAAUAAGGCAGGUUUUGUGCCCCAAAAAGUAAAGUAUAAUUGUAUAAAUAUGUAUUGACUGGGACAGUGGCUAUAGCAGACUGAAACCAGAAGGGAAGCUCUCAGCACACAAGCCAAGGACAAGAGGGAGUGGUGAGGGAGUGUCACUUACCUAAGCCAGGGUAAGAGAAGAGAGCUUGCUCUUUACUUUUAGUAGAGGAUGGGGAGCUGUACUACCCCUGCCCCUUCUUUACUGUACUCCUGCUCUGAGGCAGUCUUAUAAGACACAGAGGGCCUGGCAUGUUGGUUUCCCACUGUUGCAUCUCCAUUGACUUCACUGGAUUCUUUACUGUCAAUCUGAGAAAAAUCAAGGCUAGAUUUUGUAUCGAGGAAAAGGAUUUUAAAAUAAAACUUGAGGGUUGGUAAGUUUGAAAACUUUUUAAUAUAAUCUUCUGGCAAAGUUCACCUAGGUAGCUUUUUCCGGUCAAAGUAGUGGCAAGACUCCCAGAGGCUGUACUGGCUCUGGUGUUUCCUUUUGAUUGGUGUGAUGAUUCUGUGCACUUAAAACAACUAAAGGACCAAAAAUCAUAUGCCAUGAGCCCAGGACUCAUGAAAGUGCGUAAAUCAACCAGGCUGUGUGUGAGUGAGGGGGAGAAUGUGGUUAAGGAAACAGAAUUCAGUUUCUGGCUCCCAAAGAGUUAUUUUAAGAAAUGUUAUUUUGUGAGGCCUUUGGGCAGGAGACAGCCUACAAACAAAUAUUUUUUAUGAAAUAUAAGAAAACAAAUAUGGAAAAUAUCUUGGCAAGUGCCCUUUUCAAAACAUUUUUUCUGUUCAUUGAAUACACCCUUUCUAGCUCAUAAUAGGAGGUCAGGAAGGAUUAGGAGGUAGGAUAAAAGACAAUUAUUUAAACAUUAUUAUUCUGCUUAAUUUUGAAGCAUUUCUCAGCCUAAAACAAAGAGUGGCUUUUUAACGUUUCCUGUCUCUCCAGACUCUGAUAAUUCCUUAAACAAUGCAAGUUGGUGCCUUGCUCGUUUAACUUACUCAUUAUAUUAAAAGGGCUAAAUCCAGAGGUUUUUGCUUCUGAUUUAACUUUUAAAAUUAAAGCUCAAAGAUCCGAAAAUUAACAAAAGCUUCAGCUACAGCAACAGCUGGGGCCAGAUUUUCUGAAAUGCACUCCCCAAUAAUUCUGGCCACGUCAUUUAGGUGCCUACAUGAGAGCUGUCAGGUGCUGAGCACUUCUGAAAAUCUGGUUGUCACAGGAUAGGAUCAAACUGUGGCUUCCCCUCUGUUGGUGCACAGGGGUGGGGUAGAGGGUGCAGAAAAAGCUCCUUCCCCACCAUAGGAGGUAGGCAGAAUGCUCUGUCUAGCUCUGCUUGAGCACAAAGGGGGUUGGGUUAGCACAGCCAGCUGCUCUGAACACCCAAAAGAAGGCUUGGCUGUGUGAAUUGGGUGACCAGGCUCCUGUCUCCACUCUGCACAUCUGCUGUCCAGAGGCCAGCACUGGAGGGAAUGCAAAAAUAAACUACAUUUAAGAAAAAAGGUGGUAGUGUGCUGAAUGCUGCUCCUCAGCAUGCUCCAUGAGGAACUACACAUGCGUUCUCUGGAAUCUGCACUGUGCAGGAAACAAGCCUCCAGCUAUCACCACACUUCACUCAAGUAUUUGUGUUCAGUGUUCCACACAAGUAGUCAGCAGGUUUACACAUGUACAGUAUUUGCUUUCGAGGAGUGUGGCCAUCUUAGCCACUACACCUCUGUAAUCUAGAGCUUAGCCUGUGCUUUUAACAUUUUAAAACUUUUUCUUCUUGAUGCUUCCCAUUUGCUUUGUUGUUUAUUUCUUAAAUGAAACAUCAAGGGGAAAUGUUUUCAAUUGAAAAACAAACCGAUAUGUGAAUUGUAAAGUCCUAGUGCAAAGCAUAGAUAAAGGGAAGGUAGAGAACCCCACCUAGGCAACUACUGAAUGGGAAAACAUCUAGGAAGACUGGUUAAAAACCUGUUUUAAAAUAAAAAGUAAACAAGUUAAUUGUCCUUCAGCUGGAUGGUGUUUAGUUAGUUAGUUCUUAAACAAUUUAUAGUUUUUCAAAGUAUUUUGUCCAUGCCAGAGAAGCUAAUUUUGUUUUAAAGAAAUUUCCAUCUUAGCUCUCCUCUGUGGAUAUUGGAAAUAAGAUCCAGUGAAUGUCUCUGUUACUCUAUUUUAUAUCUCAUAGUGUAAGAUAGCUGGUAUCAAUCAGAAUAGGAAACAUUUAACACUAUGAUGUUAUUCAGUGACAGUUUCUUAUAUAGUUGAAAAUAAAUAUAUUGACUACAUCGUUUCGUUCGGAGCCUGUAAAGAGAGAGAGGAGGAGGAGAGAGAGGAUAUAUAUAUAUAUAUAUAAGAGAGAGAGAGAUUUCUCCUCUCUGCAUACUGCAUGUAUAAAUAUAUAUAAAUACAUGCAUCCAGGCUAUGUAAAAUAACAGAAGAGAAGAAUAUAUCUGAGUUACAACCUGUCAUUUACUAUUAGUAUAUAACUUAGAAAAUAUUUUCCCUUUGCUUAAAAAAUUCUCUCUCCCUCCCCCAAUACAAGUCCAGGGAAGUGCUGGCGGGGGUAGAUUCUCAACCAAAUAUGUGGAACUUUAGGGCCCGAUUCACCAGUUCAUUUAAGCAUGUUACACUUUAGACUGUGCUUAAAUGCUUUGCUGAAUUAGAGAUAGAGUCAGGCAUGACAGCCCCUUACAGUAUGCUGACUCCACAGUAGGACAGCUGAUCUUGGGGACCAUUAAGCCUUUUGCUUAAGGGGGGCAGACGGAAUCCACUUCUGCUUUACAGCGAGGAACUGCUCAAUAACUGUCAGGAAAAAAAAUGGGAAACAUUUUCCUGAAAACAAAACAAAUGUAAGAAACAUCCUACCGCUUUUGCAAAAAUUAUGACCAUCUCUAAUCCUGCCUCUCUCGUCCUGCACUCAAGAGAUCCUGGUAGUUAGUUCCCAGUGGCAAAAAGUCUAAGCAGAGGGGAUAUUGCAGUGGUACAAGACUCCUUCAGUAUCCCCUCAGCUGGGGGAAAUGCAACCACCUUGAGCAUUUCCAAGAGUAGCAGCAUUGACCAGAGAGGGAGAAUGGCCGAGGCAGCUGGGGAUGCACUGAUUCUGUUGGCAGGAAUCACAGUCAGAGAUUAAAGUUGCCACCUUAAUGGAAACUAUGAGGGAUGAGAGACAGCAGUACUGCCAGCUGCACUUCAGUAGCUGAAUGCACCUCUGGGAGCAGCAGACCAGGCUGACGAAGGGAGGUGCAACAUUUCAGUGGAGCAAGAAGAUGGGUUCCUAAAGUUAGGCAUCUAAUAGUCCAGUGAAAUGAGGGUGCUGUUAUGAGGGUUAAGCACCUAGAGCUUCCCAUAAAGUCAAUCAGAGUUCAGGGCACCAAGCACUGGGGACACAAGUUAGUAGCAAGGCUGGACUGAGAACUCAGGAGUUCCUGGCUCCCAGCCUUGAGCUUAAACCACUAGAUCAUGUUACCUCUCCCAAGCUGUCAAUUAUCCCCACUGAUGAUGAACUAUAUGGAAUACCUGUUAGAAACCGAUAUAUUUUAUUUGGCUCAUUGACACCAAUAUUUUCUCUAUGGAAAUGUCAGGAACAAGACUCUUGUGCAUAUUUAGUAAUGAAAGUAAAAACAAAUGUGCCAUUAAAGGUGUGUGUCUGUAUAUGGUGUGGGCCAUAUUCUCUGGUAUUGCUUUGGGCUGCUCUGAUGACAUACAAUGGCAAACACAUUAACUUGCUGAUUGAACCUAGUUUAUAACUAUGUUGCAUCACUGGAGAAGUGCAAAGCAGCUGAAAUGUAUCAGUAACACUGGCCGUUACAUAUUCACACACAUUUUAUGUGUGUGGUGAUGAUAGCCGUAU